RNAcentral lists this ribosomal RNA (1358 nucleotides) under Burkholderia contaminans. RNAcentral describes it as "bacterial SSU rRNA". It matches the Rfam family "Bacterial small subunit ribosomal RNA", at positions 67 to 1428 of the family's 1533-position model. The record is from RNAcentral. Lineage: Bacteria; Pseudomonadati; Pseudomonadota; Betaproteobacteria; Burkholderiales; Burkholderiaceae.
CAGCACGGGUGCUUGCACCUGGUGGCGAGUGGCGAACGGGUGAGUAAUACAUCGGAACAUGUCCUGUAGUGGGGGAUAGCCCGGCGAAAGCCGGAUUAAUACCGCAUACGAUCUACGGAUGAAAGCGGGGGACCUUCGGGCCUCGCGCUAUAGGGUUGGCCGAUGGCUGAUUAGCUAGUUGGUGGGGUAAAGGCCUACCAAGGCGACGAUCAGUAGCUGGUCUGAGAGGACGACCAGCCACACUGGGACUGAGACACGGCCCAGACUCCUACGGGAGGCAGCAGUGGGGAAUUUUGGACAAUGGGCGAAAGCCUGAUCCAGCAAUGCCGCGUGUGUGAAGAAGGCCUUCGGGUUGUAAAGCACUUUUGUCCGGAAAGAAAUCCUUGGCUCUAAUACAGUCGGGGGAUGACGGUACCGGAAGAAUAAGCACCGGCUAACUACGUGCCAGCAGCCGCGGUAAUACGUAGGGUGCAAGCGUUAAUCGGAAUUACUGGGCGUAAAGCGUGCGCAGGCGGUUUGCUAAGACCGAUGUGAAAUCCCCGGGCUCAACCUGGGAACUGCAUUGGUGACUGGCAGGCUAGAGUAUGGCAGAGGGGGGUAGAAUUCCACGUGUAGCAGUGAAAUGCGUAGAGAUGUGGAGGAAUACCGAUGGCGAAGGCAGCCCCCUGGGCCAAUACUGACGCUCAUGCACGAAAGCGUGGGGAGCAACAGGAUUAGAUACCCUGGUAGUCCACGCCCUAAACGAUGUCAACUAGUUGUUGGGGAUUCAUUUCCUUAGUAACGUAGCUAACGCGUGAAGUUGACCGCCUGGGGAGUACGGUCGCAAGAUUAAAACUCAAAGGAAUUGACGGGGACCCGCACAAGCGGUGGAUGAUGUGGAUUAAUUCGAUGCAACGCGAAAAACCUUACCUACCCUUGACAUGGUCGGAAUCCCGCUGAGAGGUGGGAGUGCUCGAAAGAGAACCGGCGCACAGGUGCUGCAUGGCUGUCGUCAGCUUGUGUCGUGAGAUGUUGGGUUAAGUCCCGCAACGAGCGCAACCCUUGUCCUUAGUUGCUACGCAAGAGCACUUUAAGGAGACUGCCGGUGACAAACCGGAGGAAGGUGGGGAUGACGUCAAGUCCUCAUGGCCCUUAUGGGUAGGGCUUCACACGUCAUACAAUGGUCGGAACAGAGGGUUGCCAACCCGCGAGGGGGAGCUAAUCCCAGAAAACCGAUCGUAGUCCGGAUUGCACUCUGCAACUCGAGUGCAUGAAGCUGGAAUCGCUAGUAAUCGCGGAUCAGCAUGCCGCGGUGAAUACGUUCCCGGGUCUUGUACACACCGCCCGUCACACCAUGGGAGUGGGUUUUACCAGAAGUG